CACGCCGUAAACGAUGGAUGCUAAGCAUUGGGAGUUUCGACCCUCUCAGUGCUGUCUGCCUAAGUUAACACCUUAAGCAUCCCGCCUGGGGAGUACGGCCGCAAGGCUAAAACUCAAAGGAAUAGACGGGGACCCGCACAAGCGGUGGAGCAUGUGGUUUAAUUCGACGAUAAGCGUGGAACCUCACCAAGGUUUGACAUCUGGCUGCAGACUCCUGGAAACAGGAGAGCCUUCGAGGGUGCCAGACAGAUGC
Molecule: ribosomal RNA, 253 nt
Filed under: uncultured bacterium
Lineage: Bacteria
Description: partial 16S ribosomal RNA
Rfam family: Bacterial small subunit ribosomal RNA
Source: RNAcentral